UCUUGUAUGUUUCUUUGAUUUUUCUUUUUCUCUUGUAUGUUUCUCUAAUUUUCUUUUUUUCUUGUGUGUUGCUCUAAUUUUCUUUUUCUGUUAUCAGUUUCUUCUACCAUGUUUCUCCUACUGUGUUCUUGUAAAAUUGCUUCUACCAUGUUCUUAUCAGUUUCUUCUACUAUGUUUCUCCUAUUAUGUUCUUGUUAAGUUUCUUAUAUCAUGUUCUUAUCAGUUGCUUCUACUGUGUUCUUUGUGUGUUUCGUCUACCAUGUUUCUCCUACUAUGUACUUGAUAAGUUUCUUUUACCUUGUUCUUAUUUGUUUCUUCUACUAGUUCUUUUAUUGGUUUCGUAUGUUGUUCUUUUACUAUGAUUAUCAUGAGUUCCUGCUACUAAAAGAGCAUGUUACAGGUCUCAGUUCCUUUCUGAGACCUCUGAACCUGUCUCGAUUAAUAUCAUUUUCCUUGAUUACUUGUCUUCUCCUCUCUACACUCGAUUGAUGGUAAAAAACCCUACAAUUUGGUUUCACUUGUUGCUCAACUGAGUCUUGAAAUCUUUUGUUUCAACCUUUGUUUCUUUAGGCAAUUCUGAUUCUCUACUAAACUCUUCUAAGGUCUUUGUACUGGACCUUCGUAUGCUAUUUGGUACUACCUCUCUUCUACAGAUUUUGCAAUAACAUGAUGUUUUUCUUUGCCCUAAAUUCAGCCUAGCAUAUUUGUGUGUUCUUUAUAUGUGUUGAACUUUCCUCUAAAAAUGGCUUUCAAUUUUGAUUUUCAGACUUCCUUUGUGUAAGUUCGAUUGAUUUCUUUCCUUGUUUGCUGACUUCCCUAUUACUUGACUUUCCUUAUCUUUUCUGACUUGGUUCAUUCAUGGACUAGUGAUUACAAAAUCUUUGACCCCUUGAUUUACUGUAUACUAAUUGAUUCUUACGUUAUUUGUUUUAACCGCGUGUUUCAAAUUUCUUCCCUUAACUAAACCCCUUAUGUAUUUACCCCUGGUUGCCCACAAGAUGUUUAUUCGAUUUCUUUCCUUAAAUAGUUUUACCAUUUGAGUCUGAAUUCCCCGAUUAAAGGAAGUCUUGUAUUGAUUGAUUUCUUAAUUGAUUUCUAGUUCCUUAAUUGUGUUCUUACCUUAUUUCUGCCUGUUUUUCACACUAUAAAUGCACGACUCUUUCAUUAACAAAACAUCAUCCAUCACUUGUAGUUUUUCUAAACUUACACUCACACUCGAAAAUAUCCUCUCUUGUUACUUGUAUUGUGGCCUGUUAACAAGACUUUCUGCCUAUUUUUCUCCAUUUUACUUCUUUGAAAUUGGUAUGUCCUGAUAUAAGGUUCAACAUCACAAUAAUGUAUUUAUUUCCUGCUUUUUCCCUGUCUGCCUACUGUUUCUGUAUAGUUCAACACUACUAAUUUCUUUUCUACCUGUUCUAUUAUGAAUCCCUAUUUCCAUACCCCCAUGUGUGUUUAAGUUAUGGUUCGUAGCAUGGAAAUAUGUAAGUUAUUUCCCAUGAACUAAGCUUGAUCCCUUGGGAUCCUAGCCUCUAAUAAUGCAUGUUCUAGUAGGCUUAUGGUAUGCUAACAUCCUCUAUUGCUAGGCAUGCCUAAAGUCUGCUCUUGCCUAAGCAAUAGGCUCUUUACAAUCUCUAUAUUCCCCUGAACCCCCUAUAUGUACUUAUUUGUAGUUGUUUCCCUCCCCUUUCCCCCCUUUCAGAAUUCUAUUUCUACACUUGCACUCUCUCUUAGUCCUUAAGUUCUGCCCCCUUCUUGUGAGCGUUACCUUGGGACCUUGAGUUCCCUUUGAACUUGGACACUUGAGGGUUGGCCCUUCCACACUGCACUUUUCCUAAUAUGAUAAUACAUUUGGGUGUGAGCACUGCCCAAAGUUUCUUUGAGGCUCUUAGGGAACUUUGACAAACUCAAAUGGGAGAAAGGCUUUGGAUCAUGAUUUCAUGGAGUUGGUUUACCUCAUAUUUCAGGCAUAAAGUCUGAAUCAGGCUCUCCUUUGGUUGUACUUUUAUUUUCUGAUGUAUUUUUACUUUCUUCUGGGUUGUAAUAAUUUGUAAUAAACUCUUGGGGAUGAUUAGUGAAAAGGGUGGGUGACUAUGUAUACAAAUGGGUAGAUAUCGUGUCUAUAGGAACUUUGAAUAUGCAGAUAGAUACCAUGUCUAUAGGAACUUUGAAUAUCCAUAUAGAUAUCAUGCCUAUAGGUGUUUGGAUUUAUGUAUAUCCUAUGCUCAUAUUGAAAUCAUGAUCAUAGGGUUACUAUAUUCAUAUAGAAAUCAUGCCUACAGGAUUGUCUAACCAUGUACGAUCAAUUGCACUUAGAUAUCAUAUCCAUAGGUCUUAAACAAAUUUCUG
This 2346-nucleotide long non-coding RNA is filed under the name Nicotiana benthamiana. Its description in RNAcentral is "long non-coding RNA (NBEN_LNC036144)". Lineage: Eukaryota; Viridiplantae; Streptophyta; Magnoliopsida; Solanales; Solanaceae. The record is from RNAcentral.